Molecule: ribosomal RNA, 494 nt
Filed under: uncultured bacterium
Lineage: Bacteria
Description: partial 16S ribosomal RNA
Rfam family: Bacterial small subunit ribosomal RNA
Source: RNAcentral
GACGAACGCUGGCGGCGUGCUUAACACAUGCAAGUCGAACGGUGAAGCGCCUUCCUUUUUGGUGGGUGUGGAUGAGUGGCGAACGGGUGAGUAACACGUGAGUAACCUGCCCCCUUCUUCUGGAUAACCGCAUGAAAGUGUGGCUAAUACGGGAUAUUCUGGGUCUGUCGCAUGAUGGGUCUGGGAAAGAUAUUGUUUCGGUGGGGGAUGGGCUCGCGGCCUAUAAGCUUGUUGGUGGGGUGAUGGCCUACCAAGGCGGUGACGGGUAGCCGGCCUGAGAGGGUGGACGGUCACACUGGGACUGAGACACGGCCCAGACUCCGACGGGAGGCAGCAGUGGGGAAUAUUGCACAAUGGGCGCAAGCCUGAUGCAGCGACGCCGCGUGAGGGAUGGAGGCCUUCGGGUUGUGAACCUCUUUCGCCAGUGAAGCAGGCCUGCCUCGUUUGUGGGUGGGUUGACGGUAGCUGGAUAAGAAGCGCCGGCUAACUACGUG